GCCUAGAGGGAGUGGAGCGGUGAGCACGUCAGGGGUGGGGGGCGCAGGUCAAGCUUUCACCAGUUUUUAAUUCUUUGAUGGGGUAAAUUUGAGCAAUUUUCUCGACUUGUCGACAUUCGUUAUUAACUGAGCAGGAAUCAGGAGAGGAACCCGGUCCUCUCCACACAGCCCAGCAGGUACGCCGCCCAUGUGCCUGUGGAGAAGAGAGGUUCCUGUGGGGCAGACAGGUGUGGACCAAGUAGCUGCGAAAUUUCUUCUGAAGAAAACACACAAGGGGGAAGCGAGUGAGCUCAGUGGAGGAGGGGCGCUACCCCAGGGGACGUCCCCAUGCAUGGGCUUGUGAACCUCGAAUAUGUGAGACGGUCUCAGUCAAUUUAGAAAGUUUAUUUUGCCAAGGUUGAGGACGCACGCCCGUGACACAGCCUCAGGAGGUCUUGACAUGUGCCAAAGGUGGCCGGGACACAGCUUGCUUUUAUACAUGUUAGGGAGACAGGAGACAUCAAUAUAUGUAAGAUGAACGUUGGUUCCCUCGGGAAAGGCGGGACAACUCGAAGCAGGGAGGGGGCUUCCAGGUCACAGAGAGCCUACGACUAGAUUUGCAUCUUUACGUCCUGCGCGGAGGCUGCUACACACAUGCAGAAGUCAUGCUGGUGGCCUGGACAGUGAAGGGAGAGAAGUGGAUUUGGGAGACAUUUAGGAGAAGAAUCCCAGACUUCUUAGAGAACCCAGUGACUUUUUGCACCUUAAAUCUGUGAAAUCCUCAUGUUUUCUUCUGCCGUAUCCAUAGUUCAAACAAAGAUGAGGCAAAGCUAGAUGCAUUCCUGAAGGAACCCAAGAAAUUCCUCUCUUUAUUUCUCUGGAAUGAAAUGAAUUCUCUAGACCACCAGUUCUAACCUUCAAAAACCAAACCUGUUUGUGAGAUCUCCUUCAAAUACUACUGUAGACCCCAGUGUUUAUUCAUUAAAUUUUUAAAAUAUU
This is a long non-coding RNA of Homo sapiens (human), 978 nucleotides long. Ensembl annotates it as ribosomal protein L23a pseudogene 7. Its record names the gene RPL23AP7. The record is from Ensembl. NCBI's taxonomy places the organism in Eukaryota, Metazoa, Chordata, Mammalia, Primates, Hominidae.